UGCCAAAGAACAUCGUUAGAGUAUGCUUUACAUACCUCGUUGUAGAUUCGGAUACCAAUUUAACACAACUUCCCUCCUUUACAAAUCACUUAUCUACAAUGAAAUGUUUGGCAUCUAGUAGUAGCAACCCAACACCACAAUUCUCUUCCAUAAUUCCAUACUACCAAUAUUUGCAAAACAUUCCAAAAACCAACUUGAACAAUAGGUUUAUGUGUGUAUAUAUAUAUAAUCAUCAUUUCAAUACCACAUCAUCAAUACCACAUCAUCACCCCAAAUUCCUUCACAAUUUAACAUAAUCCAACCAUGCACAAGAAUAAUCCAACAUCAUUUCCAAUCAUCUUUCAACAACAAUCAAAUAACAUACUUCUUAUGCUCACAUGCAUAUAUAUAUAUACAUAUCCAUAUAAAUAACACCA
This 416-nucleotide long non-coding RNA is filed under the name Capsicum annuum. Its description in RNAcentral is "long non-coding RNA (CANN_LNC014322)". Lineage: Eukaryota; Viridiplantae; Streptophyta; Magnoliopsida; Solanales; Solanaceae. The record is from RNAcentral.